RNAcentral lists this ribosomal RNA (490 nucleotides) under uncultured bacterium. RNAcentral describes it as "partial 16S ribosomal RNA". It matches the Rfam family "Bacterial small subunit ribosomal RNA", at positions 30 to 507 of the family's 1533-position model. The record is from RNAcentral.
AUUGAACGCUGGCGGCAUGCCUAACACAUGCAAGUCGAACGGUCACACGAAGCGGCUUGCUGCUUCGCUUACGAGUGGCGGACGGGUGUGUAAUGUCUGUGAAACUGCUUGAUGGAGGGGGUUAACUACUGGAAACGGUACCUAUUACCGCAUAUCGUCUCAAGACCAAAGAGGGGGACCUUACGGCCUCUUUCCUUCGGCUUUUCCCUGAUGGGAUUAGCUAGUAGGUGGGGUAACGGCUCACCUAGGCGACGAUCCCUAGCUGAUCUGAGAGGAUGACCAGCCACACUGGAACUGAGACACGGUCCAGACUCCUACGGGAGGCAGCAGUGGGGAAUAUUGCGCAAUGGGCGAAAGCCUGAUGGAGCCAUGCCGCGUGUGUGAAGAAGGCCUUCGGGUUGUAAAGUACUUUCAGCGGGGAAGAAGGGAGUAGUGUUAAUCCCUUUGCUCAUUGACGUUACCCGAAGAAAAAGCAACGGCUAACUACGUG